Long non-coding RNA from Gasterosteus aculeatus aculeatus (three-spined stickleback), 1710 nucleotides. NCBI's taxonomy places the organism in Eukaryota, Metazoa, Chordata, Actinopteri, Perciformes, Gasterosteidae. The record is from Ensembl.
UUCCAUUUAACCUGCCUUACCACAGCUGCAUCCCCACACAGCUGUUUUCAAUUUUGACAAUUUUUGGUCUCAGUCGGCGUCUCACUGUGCGAUGUGACUGACCAAAAAUAAUUGAUGACCAACAACAACCACAUUUCUCUCAUGGUUGUCAACUUUUUCUCCGGCGGAUUAAGAUUUCACGGUACACAUGGGGACUUUCACUUUAGAAGGGCACAGGAAGUUUUUUGGCUUUAGUGAGGGACCCGGAGGGAACAUCCAUCCUCUUCUCCCGGAAAAAUGACAAUAUGAACUGAAGAGAGUCUGUUGGUAGACCAGCGAAUCCUGAACUGCUGCUACGUUUCUUACAACAGCAGCACGUUGUUCACGUCUGCUUACAUGCUUCCUCGCCGGUCGUCUUCUUCGUGUUUGGCCACAGCAGGAAGCCGCAAGCCAACACUGUUGGGUGGACCUCACACAGAAAGCAAACAUAAAGGAACCACACCAAGGGGAGAAUGUAAACUGGCCCUUCAUUCAACAUAACGUUGUGUUUCCUCUAUCAUCCUUGGUUUUACAUUUGCGGCUUUCUCACCUGUUUCAUCUGAUGCUGUUUGGGCUGUUUUCACUCUACAUCUGGUUGAGAUCGCUCUUGCGCAAGAAACUCAUUCAAUAAGGGUCAACACAUGUAUAGAUAGAGCAUUUAUAUAAGCAGCUGCAGAAGGACUAACAAUUGUUGUGUUGUAGCGAAAAACAAACCAUAAUUGUUGUUGUUAUGCGAUAGGAUGUUGUCAGGUGACACUGGCUUGGACUUUGAUAGGGUCCUUUAAAGGCCGCAUGGGCUGAUCCGAGCGGUCGCUGAUCUGAGACGAUCUGACUCUCUGCUUGCAUCUGCCGCUCUGGUUGCCUAGCAACAGCAAGUAGUAAAAUAUAGCAAAAGCCUUGAAACGCAAAAAACAUAUAAAAGGGCAGCCAGAAUCAGAUUCAGAUCGGUUAAGUCAAUGGUUGCCAAACUUUUUCUGUCUAGGGGGCCUUGUCUUUUUUCCUCUGUCUCUGUUUUUUUCUCCCUCUCUUCCUCCCUUUCUCCCUCUCCAUCCAUCUCUUUCUCUCGCCCUCUCUCUGCCUCCUUGCUGCGCUCGUCUCCCUGUAACUUGAGCCGCUCUGGGGGGGUUGGUUCCAACACAACGCAUGUCAAGUCCUCAUGUGGGUUUCGUUUUUUUUGCUGUGUGUUGGGGUUGGUGAUGAAGCUGCGACCCCCCACCCCUCCCACCCCCCCAGCUCGGGAACCACUCGGUUAAGCACAUGUCAUUUCAGCUAAAAGUAAUAUUGCAAUCUUAAGGCAGAGAAAAUCAAUUACUACAGUCAAUAAAAAAACAUUAAUGUCAGCAAACAUUUUAUAAACUUGAAUGCAGAGAAUUGCUUUUUUCUUCUUGUAUAUGAAACAACCUAAUUUGACUGUAACCAUAAGACAUUACAAAAUAUUUCCAAGCUGCAGUAGCUUAAUCUUAUAAAUUUGGUAUUUUUUUUAAUGUAUUUUGGUACUUUGAUAUUCAUGUAUGCUGUGGGGGGCAAAGGGGGCCGCAUGACUGACAGGAGUUUGUUUGGAGAAAAACGACAUUACCAACGUCCCGUUAAGGGAUUGUUUAAACAGAAAUGUAAUGUUAUAUAUCAUAUUAUAAUAUUUCUAUCUACAGAUAUUCGAGUGAACUGCAGUACUUACAUUUAAAAGUGAACUCC